ACGCUCGACACCUAUGGGAGGCAGCAGUGGGGAAUAUUGCACAAUGGGGGAAACCCUGAUGCAGCGACGCCGCGUGAAGGAAGAAGUAUCUCGGUAUGUAAACUUCUAUCAGCAGGGAAGAAAAUGACGGUACCUGACUAAGAAGCCCCGGCUAACUACGUGCCAACAGCCGCGGUAAUCUGAGCGGGCUGGCAAGGC
Molecule: ribosomal RNA, 198 nt
Filed under: uncultured bacterium
Lineage: Bacteria
Description: partial 16S ribosomal RNA
Rfam family: Bacterial small subunit ribosomal RNA
Source: RNAcentral